ACGAACGCUGGCGGCGCGCCUAACACAUGCAAAUCGAGCGAGAACCAGCCCUUCGGGGCUGGGGACGAGCGGCGAACGGGUGAGUAACACGUGGGUGAUCUACCCUCGGUUCUGGGAUAGCCCGGGGAACCCGGAUUAAUACCGGAUGGCCUUUCGAGUCCUCGGACCCGAAAGAAAAGGUAAGCUUCGGCCUCCGACCGAGGAUGAGCCCGCGGCCGAUUAGCUUGUUGGUGGGGUAAGUGGCCUACCAAGGCGACGAUCGGAGCUGGUCUGAGAGGACGAUCAGCCACACUGGGACUGAGACACGGCCCAGACUCCUACGGGAGGCAGCAGUGGGGAAUCUUGCGCAAUGGGCGAAAGCCUGACGCAGCGACGCCGCGUGCGGGAAGAAGGCCUUCGGUUGUAA
This 406-nucleotide ribosomal RNA is filed under the name uncultured bacterium. Its description in RNAcentral is "bacterial SSU rRNA". It matches the Rfam family "Bacterial small subunit ribosomal RNA", at positions 29 to 428 of the family's 1533-position model. The record is from RNAcentral.